UACGUAGGGAGCAAGCGUUGUCCGGAAUCAUUGGGCGUAAAGCGCGCGUAGGCGGCCCCGUAAGUCCGCUGUGAAAGUCAAAGGCUCAACCUUUGAAAGCCGGUGGAUACUGUGGGGCUAGAGUCCGGAAGAGGCGAGUGGAAUUCCUGGUGUAGCGGUGGAAUGCGCAGAUAUCAGGAGGAACACCAAUGGCGAAGGCAGCUCACUGGGACGGUAUUGACGCUGAGACGCGAAAGCGUGGGGAGCAAACAGG
Molecule: ribosomal RNA, 253 nt
Filed under: uncultured bacterium
Lineage: Bacteria
Description: partial 16S ribosomal RNA
Rfam family: Bacterial small subunit ribosomal RNA
Source: RNAcentral